RNAcentral lists this ribosomal RNA (425 nucleotides) under uncultured bacterium. RNAcentral describes it as "partial 16S ribosomal RNA". It matches the Rfam family "Bacterial small subunit ribosomal RNA", at positions 354 to 796 of the family's 1533-position model. The record is from RNAcentral.
GUGGGGAAUAUUGCAAAUGGGCGAAAGCCUGAUGUAGCAACGCCGCGUGUGCGAUGAAGGUCUUCGGAUUGUAAAGCACUUUUUGGAGGGAUGAGGAAGGACAGUACCUCCAGAAUAAGCUUCGGCUAACUACGUGCCAGCAGCCGCGGUAACACGUAGGAGGCAAGCGUUAUUCGGAUUUACUGGGCGUAAAGCGCGUGCAGGCGGUUUGGAAAGGUGGAUGUGAAAGCUCCUGGCGAAACUGGGAGAGGUCGUUCAAUACUUCCAGACUUGAGAGUGGUAGAGGGAGGUGGAAUUCCGGGUGUAGUGGUGAAAUGCGUAGAUAUCCGGAGGAACACCAGUGGCGAAAGCGGCCUCCUGGACCACUUCUGACGCCCAGACGCGAAAGCUAGGGUAGCAAACGGGAUUAGAAACCCUUGUAGUCC